Molecule: long non-coding RNA, 327 nt
Organism: Oncorhynchus tshawytscha (Chinook salmon)
Lineage: Eukaryota; Metazoa; Chordata; Actinopteri; Salmoniformes; Salmonidae
Source: Ensembl
AUUUAACCAGGUAGGCUAGUUGAGAACACCUUUAUUUAACCAGGUAGGCCAGUUGAGAACACCUUUAUUUAACCAGGUAGGCUAGUUGAGAACACCUUUAUUUAACCAGGUAGGCCAGUUGAGAACACCUUUAUUUAACCAGGUAGGCUAGUUGAGAACACCUUUAUUUAACCAGGUGGGCUAGUUGAGAACACCUUUAUUUAACCAGGUAGGCUAGUUGAGAACACCUUUAUUUAACCAGGUAGGCUAGUUGAGAACACCUUUAUUUAACCAGGUAGGCCAGUUGAGAACACCUUUAUUUAACCAGGUAGGCUAGUUGAGAACACC